AUUGAACGCUGGCGGCAGGCCUAACACAUGCAAGUCGAGCGGAGCGGCGGACGGGUGAGUAUUGCCUAGGAAUCUGCCUGGUAGUGGGGGAUAACGUCCGGCAACGGGCGCUAAUACCGCAUACUAUCAGAUGAGCCUAGGUCGGAUUAGCUAGUUGGUGGGUGAAAGGCCUACCAAGGCGACGGUCCGUAACUGGUCUGAGAGGAUGAUUAGUCACACUGGAACUGAGAAACGGUCCAGAAUCCGACGGGCGGCAGCAGUGGGGAAGAGUGGGCAAUGGGCGAAGGCCGGAUCCAGCCAGGCCGCGUGUGUGAAGAAGGUCGUCGGAUUGUAAAGCACUGGAAGUUGGGAGGCGUUACCAACAGAAUAAGCACCGGCGAACUUCGGGCCAGCAGCCGCGGUAAUAC
This 407-nucleotide ribosomal RNA is filed under the name uncultured bacterium. Its description in RNAcentral is "partial 16S ribosomal RNA". It matches the Rfam family "Bacterial small subunit ribosomal RNA", at positions 29 to 526 of the family's 1533-position model. The record is from RNAcentral.